AAAUUAGAAUCCAAGGAAGUUAACAUGUCAUCACUUCAUUUUUUUGCGCCUGCGCAUAAAUCUGAGAAACAAACCACAUUUGUUCCGGACCUGGGAUGCCUUCCGGACCUGGGAUGCCUGCCUUCUGAUGGAGAUAAUCAAAGCAGCCUUAAUCUACGUCCAAGUCAUCGGAGCCCAGGGAUCAGUUGUUGUGGGGGUUAAGUGCCUUGUUCAAGGGCAGAACGGCAGAUUUAUCCACCUUGGGGUUCAAACAAGAAACCUUUUGGUUACUGUCCCAACGCUCUAACCGCUAGGCUACCUGCCACCCUAAUAGCAGUUAGCCUAACAAAUACUGUAGCCCUCUCGACUGCACUUAUUAAGCUUGUGGAUGGACAGAGAGGGUCUGGCAGCUGCCUUACGAAGGAGAGAGAGACACAUACACACACACUCACAGCUCCUAAUGAGAUGCACAGUGUCAAUGGCCCUCCCUUUCUGAAGAGGGAAGAAGAAAAGGACUCUUUCUCUCUUUCUCACCCCUCUUCCGCUUCGCUCUGUCUUCUAUUCCCUUAUCCCUCCCUCUCUCUCCAUCUCCUGCCCUACUCCCCAGCUAGCGAAGGCUUUUGUUCAGACGCCAGAUGAUAACCCAAAUGCCCCAGCGCAGCCGGCCCUUUCAGCCACAUUCACCAGUCUACCCUCAAGUCACAAGUCAUCACAACUGGGCAGCUGAAUGCAUCAUGUGACAACGGCAACCAUGGCAGGAUUUUGAUGAUGGCAGGGGUACUUGUAAUUGUUGUGGACGUUGCAAGACCGGACUGUUCCAUUAGUGAUGAAAAUAUAUACGAUUAGUUUGAUGGUUAGUGGGCCUGAGACACUUUUUUAAAGUAGAAGAUGUGUAGAGAGCAGCCUCUAAAAUACUUUUCUUUCACGGUUGAGAAAUUGAUGUAUGUCAACCUGUUCAGCACUAUGAGGACACAGAUGAACUGCGCUCAAGUUCUUAGCCUCUCUGGGAUAUGUGGGACGCUAGUUGUUAAUCCAGCCACAGUGUCUGAUUUCAAAAAGGCUUUUUUGCAAAAGCACACUAUGCGAUUAUGUUAGGUCAGCGCCUAGCCACAGAAAACCAUACAGCCAUUUUCCAAAGAAGGAGAGGUGUCACAAAAGACAGAAAUUAAAAUUAAUCACUAACCUUUGAUGAUCUUCACCGGAUGGCACUCCCAGGACUCCAUGUUAGACAAAUGUGUGUUUUGUUCGAUAAAGUUCAUCUUUAUGUCCAAAAACCUCAUUUGAAAUUGCCACAUUAUGUUCAGAAAUGCAUUGUCUUAAACAUACAUCCGGUGAAAGUGCAGAGAGCCACAUCAAAUUACAGAAAUACUCAUCAUAAACAUUGAUGAAAGAUACAAGUGUUUAACUCUUUAGGGAUAGGGGGCAGCAUUGGGAAGUUUGGAUGAAAAGAGUGCCCAGAGUAAACUGCCUGUUACUCAGGCCCAGAAGCUAGAAUAUGCAUAUAAUAGUUGUUUUUAUCAUAAAUCUUCAAUAAUAUUCCAACCGGACAAUUCCUUUGUCUUUAGAAAGGAAAGGAAACGGAGCUCGCGCUCACGGCAACACGCGAUAAACAAUUCAAGGCUUUCAGCCAGACCCCUGGUUCAAACAGCACUUAUUCGCUCCCCUUUCACAGUAGAAGCCUGAAACAACAUUCUAAAGACUGUUGACAUCUAGUGGAAGCCUUAGGAAGUGCAAUCUGGCCCCAUAGACACAGUAUAUUGGAUAGGCAAUCACUUAAAAAAAAUACAAACCUCAGAUUUUCCACUUCCUGGUUGGAUUUUUCUCAGGUUUCUGCCUGCCAUAUGAGUUCUGUUAUACUCACAGACAAUAUUUUAACAGCUUUAGAAAGUUUAGAGUGUUUUCUAUCCAAAUCUAUCUAUUAUAUGCAUAUUCUAGCUUCUGGGCCUGAGUAGCAGGCAGUUUACUCUGGGCACCUUAUUCAUCCAAGCUACUCAAUACUGCCCCAUGUUCCCAAAUUAGUUAGUUACUUUAAUAGCGCCCAAGCCCUCUGCAGGACAAGAAGAGAACUGCACGGUUGGUCUCAUUUUUAUCUCAUCCAACUCUUUAUGUACUGUACUUUAUGUAAGAUUAUAAACUGGGUGGUUCGAGCCCUGAAUGCUGAUUGUCUGAAAGCUGUGGUAUAUCAGACUGUAUACCUUUUCAUUGCUCUAAUUAUUUUGUCAACCGGUUUAUAAUAGCAAUAAGGUACCACGGGGUUUUUGACAUGUGGCCAUAUACCACACCCACUCGGGCCUUAUUGCUGAAAUAUAACCUGAUACAACAUGUUUUGUGAAUAAAUAACAUGUACAAAAAUAAACAAAUGUAGGUGGAGUCUGGUUAAGUUUGAGUCUCUCUGCGGCUGGUUUCUCUCUGAAGCUGCUCUAUAGGGAGCAGAGGAGGAAGGUCACGAC
Molecule: long non-coding RNA, 2429 nt
Filed under: Salmo salar (Atlantic salmon)
Lineage: Eukaryota; Metazoa; Chordata; Actinopteri; Salmoniformes; Salmonidae
Description: lncRNA (ENSSSAG00000085596.1)
Source: RNAcentral